GACGAACGCUGGCGGCGCGCCUAAUACAUGCAAGUUGAGCGCUGAAGGUUGGUACUUGUACCAACUGGAUGAGCAGCGAACGGGUGAGUAACGCGUGGGGAAUCUGCCUUUGAGCGGGGGACAACAUUUGGAAACGAAUGCUAAUACCGCAUAAAAACUUUAAACACAAGUUUUAAGUUUGAAAGAUGCAAUUGCAUCACUCAAAGAUGAUCCCGCGUUGUAUUAGCUAGUUGGUGAGGUAAAGGCUCACCAAGGCGAUGAUACAUAGCCGACCUGAGAGGGUGAUCGGCCACAUUGGGACUGAGACACGGCCCAAACUCCUACGGGAGGCAGCAGUAGGGAAUCUUCGGCAAUAGACGAAAGUCUGACCGAGCAACGCCGCGUGAGUGAAGAAGGUUUUCGGAUCGUAAAACUCUGUUGGUAGAGAAGAACGUUGGUGAGAGUGGAAAGCUCAUCAAGUGACGGUAACUACCCAGAAAGGGACGGCUAACUACGUG
RNAcentral lists this ribosomal RNA (497 nucleotides) under uncultured bacterium. RNAcentral describes it as "partial 16S ribosomal RNA". It matches the Rfam family "Bacterial small subunit ribosomal RNA", at positions 28 to 507 of the family's 1533-position model. The record is from RNAcentral.